RNAcentral lists this ribosomal RNA (450 nucleotides) under uncultured bacterium. Its description in RNAcentral is "partial 16S ribosomal RNA". It matches the Rfam family "Bacterial small subunit ribosomal RNA", at positions 354 to 796 of the family's 1533-position model. The record is from RNAcentral.
GUGGGGAAUAUUGGGCAAUGGGGGCAACCCUGACCCAGCAACGCCGCGUGAGUGAAGAAGGUUUUCGGAUCGUAAAGCUCUUUCGUUAGGGACGAACGUGCUCUUUGUGAAUAAUGAGGAGUAAUGACGGUACCUAAAUAAGAAGCCACGGCUAACUACGUGCCAGCAGCCGCGGUAAUACGUAGGUGGCAAGCGUUGUCCGGAAUUAUUGGGCGUAAAGCGCGCGCAGGCGGGAUAUCAAGUCUGUCUUAAAAGUGCGAGGCUCAACCUCGUGAGGGGACAGAAACUGGUAUUCUUGAGUGUCGGAGAGGAAAGUGGAAUUCCAAGUGUAGCGGUGAAAUGCGUAGAGAUUUGGAAGAACACCAGUGGCGAAGGCGACUUUCUGGACGAUGUCUGACGCUGAGGCGCGAAAGCUAGGGGAGCGAACGGGAUUAGAAACCCCGGUAGUCC